Molecule: ribosomal RNA, 1120 nt
Filed under: Salmonella enterica subsp. enterica serovar Kentucky
Lineage: Bacteria; Pseudomonadati; Pseudomonadota; Gammaproteobacteria; Enterobacterales; Enterobacteriaceae
Description: partial 23S ribosomal RNA
Rfam family: Bacterial large subunit ribosomal RNA
Source: RNAcentral
UGUGAGCUCGAUGAGUAGGGCGGGACACGUGGUAUCCUGUCUGAAUAUGGGGGGACCAUCCUCCAAGGCUAAAUACUCCUGACUGACCGAUAGUGAACCAGUACCGUGAGGGAAAGGCGAAAAGAACCCCGGCGAGGGGAGUGAAAAAGAACCUGAAACCGUGUACGUACAAGCAGUGGGAGCCCCACCACUAAGCCAGUGGUGAACUCCACAUACGCAUCCUUUGCUGAAGGUGCGGUUAACGGAGCGCAAGCGACGUUCAACCUCAAAAGAAGCAGAGGGGGCUUAGUGGUGGGGUGACUGCGUACCUUUUGUAUAAUGGGUCAGCGACUUAUAUUCUGUAGCAAGGUUAACCGCAUAGGGGAGCCGGAGGGAAACCGAGUCUUAAUUGGGCGUUAAGUUGCAGGGUAUAGACCCGAAACCCGGUGAUCUAGCCAUGGGCAGGUUGAAGGUUGGGUAACACUAACUGGAGGACCGAACCGACUAAUGUUGAAAAAUUAGCGGAUGACCUGUGGCUGGGGGUGAAAGGCCAAUCAAACCGGGAGAUAGCUGGUUCUCCCCGAAAGCUAUUUAGGUAGCGCCUCGUGAAUUCAUCUCCGGGGGUAGAGCACUGUUUCGGCUAGGGGGCCAUCCCGGCUUACCAACCCGAUGCAAACUGCGAAUACCGGAGAAUGUUAUCACGGGAGACACACGGCGGGUGCUAACGUCCGUCGUGAAGAGGGAAACAACCCAGACCGCCAGCUAAGGUCCCAAAGUCAUGGUUAAGUGGGAAACGAUGUGGGAAGGCCCAGACAGCCAGGAUGUUGGCUUAGAAGCAGCCAUCAUUUAAAGAAAGCGUAAUAGCUCACUGGUCGAGUCGGCCUGCGCGGAAGAUGUAACGGGGCUAAACCAUGCACCGAAGCUGCGGCAGCGACGCUGAUGCGUUGUUGGGUAGGGGAGCGUUCUGUAAGCCUGUGAAGGUGGCCUGUGAGGGUUGCUGGAGGUAUCAGAAGUGCGAAUGCUGACAUAAGUAACGAUAAAGCGGGUGAAAAGCCCGCUCGCCGGAAGACCAAGGGUUCCUGUCCAACGUUAAUCGGGGCAGGGUGAGUCGACCCCUAAGGCGAGGCCGAAAGGCGUAGUC